RNAcentral lists this microRNA (21 nucleotides) under Macaca mulatta (Rhesus monkey). RNAcentral describes it as "mml-miR-1243-5p". Lineage: Eukaryota; Metazoa; Chordata; Mammalia; Primates; Cercopithecidae. The record is from miRBase by way of RNAcentral.
UCCUGUAACUGGGCCAGUUUC